Molecule: ribosomal RNA, 1074 nt
Filed under: Stigonema panniforme CBFS A-026
Lineage: Bacteria; Bacillati; Cyanobacteriota; Cyanophyceae; Nostocales; Stigonemataceae
Description: bacterial SSU rRNA
Rfam family: Bacterial small subunit ribosomal RNA
Source: RNAcentral
CUAAAGCCUGACGGGGCAAUACCGCGUGAGGGAGGAAGGCUCUUAGGUUGUAAACCUCUUUUCUCAGGGAAGACUGAUGACGGUACCUGAGGAAUCAGCAUCGGCUAACUCCGUGCCAGCAGCCGCGGUAAUACGGAGGAUGCAAGCGUUAUCCGGAAUGAUUGGGCGUAAAGCGUCCGCAGGUGGCAGUGUAAGUCUGCUGUCAAAGAGUCUGGCUCAACCAGAUAAAGGCAGUGGAAACUACACAGCUAGAGUGCGGUAGGGGCAGAGGGAAUUCCUGGUGUAGCGGUGAAAUGCGUAGAGAUCAGGAAGAACACCGGUGGCGAAAGCGCUCUGCUAGGCCGUAACUGACACUGAGGGACGAAAGCUAGGGGAGCGAAUGGGAUUAGAUACCCCAGUAGUCCUAGCCGUAAACGAUGGAUACUAGGUGUUGCUUGUAUCGACCCGAGCAGUACCGUAGCUAACGCGUUAAGUAUCCCGCCUGGGGAGUACGCAGGCAACUGUGAAACUCAAAGGAAUUGACGGGGGCCCGCACAAGCGGUGGAGUAUGUGGUUUAAUUCGAUGCAACGCGAAGAACCUUACCAGGGCUUGACAUGUCGCGAAUCUCAGGGAAACUUGGGAGUGCCUUCGGGAGCGCGAACACAGGUGGUGCAUGGCUGUCGUCAGCUCGUGUCGUGAGAUGUUGGGUUAAGUCCCGCAACGAGCGCAACCCUCGUUUUUAGUUGCCAUCAUUAAGUUGGGCACUCUAGAGAGACUGCCGGUGACAAACCGGAGGAAGGUGGGGAUGACGUCAAGUCAGCAUGCCCCUUACGUCCUGGGCUACACACGUACUACAAUGCUCCGGACAGAGGGCAGCGAGCAUGCAAAUGCAAGCAAAUCCCGAAAACCGGAGCUCAGUUCAGAUCGCAGGCUGCAACUCGCCUGCGUGAAGUUGGAAUCGCUAGUAAUUGCAGGUCAGCAUACUGCGGUGAAUUCGUUCCCGGGCCUUGUACACACCGCCCGUCACACCAUGGAAGCUGGUAGUGCCCGAAGUCAUUACCCCAACCUGAGGGAGGGGGAUGCCUAAGGCAGGA